GUGGGGAAUAUUGGACAAUGGGCGAAAGCCUGAUCCAGCCAUGCCGCGUGUGUGAAGAAGGUCUUCGGAUUGUAAAGCACUUUAAGUUGGGAGGAAGGGCAGUAAGUUAAUACCUUGCUGUUUUGACGUUACCGACAGAAUAAGCGCCGGCUAACUUCGUGCCAGCAGCCGCGGUAAUACGAAGGGUGCAAGCGUUAAUCGGAAUUACUGGGCGUAAAGCGCGCGUAGGUGGUUUUGUAAGUUGGAGGUGAAAUCCCCGGGCUCAACCUGGGAACUGCCUCCAAAACUGCAUGACUAGAGUACGGUAGAGGGUAGUGGAAUUUCCUGUGUAGCGGUGAAAUGCGUAGAUAUAGGAAGGAACACCAGUGGCGAAGGCGACUACCUGGACUGAUACUGACACUGAGGUGCGAAAGCGUGGGGAGCAAACAGGAUUAGAUACCCCGGUAGUCC
Molecule: ribosomal RNA, 450 nt
Filed under: uncultured bacterium
Lineage: Bacteria
Description: bacterial SSU rRNA
Rfam family: Bacterial small subunit ribosomal RNA
Source: RNAcentral